GACGAACGCUGGCGGCGUGCUUAACACAUGCAAGUCGAGCGGUAAGGCCCUUUCGGGGGUACACGAGCGGCGAACGGGUGAGUAACACGUGGGUGACCUGCCCUCAGCUCUGGGAUAAGCCUGGGAAACCGGGUCUAAUACUGGAUAUGACUCCAUGACGCAUGUUGUGGGGUGGAAAGCCUUGUGCGGCUGAGGAUGGGCCCGCGGCCUAUCAGCUUGUUGGUGGGGUGANGGCCUACCAAGGCGACGACGGGUAGCCGGCCUGAGAGGGCGACCGGCCACACUGGGACUGAGACACGGCCCAGACUCCUACGGGAGGCAGCAGNGGGGAACCUUGCGCAAUGGGCGAAAGCCUGACGCAGCGACGCCGCGUGAGGGAUGACGGCCU
Molecule: ribosomal RNA, 388 nt
Filed under: uncultured bacterium
Lineage: Bacteria
Description: bacterial SSU rRNA
Rfam family: Bacterial small subunit ribosomal RNA
Source: RNAcentral